UACGUAGGGUGCGAGCGUUAAUCGGAAUUACUGGGCGUAAAGCGUGCGCAGGCGGUGAUGUAAGACAGGUGUGAAAUCCCCGGGCUUAACCUGGGAACUGCAUUUGUGACUGCAUCGCUGGAGUGCGGCAGAGGGGGAUGGAAUUCCGCGUGUAGCAGUGAAAUGCGUAGAUAUGCGGAGGAACACCGAUGGCGAAGGCAAUCCCCUGGGCCUGCACUGACGCUCAGGCACGAAGGUCAGGGGAGCAAACGGG
Molecule: ribosomal RNA, 253 nt
Filed under: uncultured bacterium
Lineage: Bacteria
Description: partial 16S ribosomal RNA
Rfam family: Bacterial small subunit ribosomal RNA
Source: RNAcentral